Molecule: long non-coding RNA, 435 nt
Organism: Amphibalanus amphitrite
Lineage: Eukaryota; Metazoa; Arthropoda; Thecostraca; Balanomorpha; Balanidae
Exons: 4
Source: RefSeq, a predicted model, not a curated record
GACGAAUUGUUGAAUGGCAGACGGUUUUGGGAUAUAUUUUUUUUUUGAGAUUUUUGAUGUUUUGGAAUGUGUGGUCUCGUCUAAUUCAAGCACAAGCAUUUUCUUGUCGCUGACUGAGUCUGUAUAUCGGAUAAGCUGCAUUGGCUUGCAAUUUCUGUGAACAAGACAUUGCAAUUCAUCCAGUGAUGGAAGAGAAUUAUGAGAAUCACGUAGAGGGAGGCAAUGAAUGGGGCUAUGGCUAUUCUGACCAGUAUGGGCCCACACAGAUCUCACAAUGGCAAGGUUUCAGCGGUGGAUUCGGGGGCUCUUGGCAAGGAUGGCAGCGGUUCCCUCGGCCGGGGCCGGGUUGGUACGGACCGCGCGGUCCCGGCUGGGCACCUCCGGCCAGCGGAGUGAACGGCUGGCCCGGACCGCGCGGACCGCGUGGUGGAGGAC